GCUCUCGUUCAUUUUGUGUUUGUAUUUUGUGUAUUCACAGUAUGGCGUGUUUGAAUGGGUGGUGUCUUUUUUGGCUGGUUGUGUUUGCGUCGGUUGCUCAGUUUGUGUUAGGGGACGUGCGCGUGACUAAGAAAUGCGAUGCGGACAAUACGAUGACGCUGUCAUUUGAUGGCUCUCCGAUUGUUUUUCUUCAGAGUGAGUGUGAUUAUGUUCUCGAUCUUUGCCACUUGUCCGCACCUGCGUCUUCAGAUUAAUAUCUGAAAAGAUCUUCAUCUACUGUGUUGCUGCUGCUUGCUAUCCCUCUGCCACAGACCCCUGUACUCAGAGCUGCCCUGCUAGAAGAUCUGGCAGAGCUGCAGACAAGUUGGCAUCAAUUUCUUCAUUCAGGAAGAAUGUGGUCCUUCACAGUGGUCCUGUGGUCUUUGAGGCUGACCAGGUUCAAACAUCUAAGCUGGAGGAUGAAGCCUCUGUUCCCACUGGAUACCUGGUGCUGGAGCUGCCGCUGCCUUGAUGAUGGUGGUCCUGAUUUUGGCUGUAGUUGCUGUGAGGAGGUUGAAGUCGCAAAAAGUGAAUCUGAAAUUUUAAUAAAGUCUCUUAAUGAACA
Long non-coding RNA from Polypterus senegalus (gray bichir), 604 nucleotides. RefSeq lists it as uncharacterized. The transcript has 4 exons. Lineage: Eukaryota; Metazoa; Chordata; Cladistia; Polypteriformes; Polypteridae. The record is from RefSeq and is a predicted model, not a curated record.